RNAcentral lists this ribosomal RNA (253 nucleotides) under uncultured bacterium. RNAcentral describes it as "partial 16S ribosomal RNA". It matches the Rfam family "Bacterial small subunit ribosomal RNA", at positions 524 to 776 of the family's 1533-position model. The record is from RNAcentral.
UACGUAGGGCGCAAGCGUUAUCCGGAAUUAUUGGGCGUAAAGAGCUCGUAGGCGGUUUGUCGCGUCUGCUGUGAAAACCGGAGGCUCAACCUCCGGCCUGCAGUGGGUACGGGCAGACUAGAGUGCGGUAGGGGAGAUUGGAAUUCCUGGUGUAGCGGUGGAAUGCGCAGAUAUCAGGAUGAACACCAAUGGCGAAGGCAGAUCUCUGGGCCGUAACUGACGCUGAGGAGCGAAAUCAUGGGGAGCAAACAGG